This 69-nucleotide small RNA is filed under the name Thiomonas bhubaneswarensis. Its description in RNAcentral is "Thiomonas sp. S10 int-alpA RNA". It matches the Rfam family "int-alpA RNA". Rfam says of the family: Acidobacteria (1 example), Planctomycetes (1 example), Proteobacteria. Environment (Lake Washington) Lineage: Bacteria; Pseudomonadati; Pseudomonadota; Betaproteobacteria; Burkholderiales. The record is from Rfam by way of RNAcentral.
CGCCAGGCUACCUCGACGGGGAGAAAAGCGGGAACCUUCGCCCGCCUGCCUGGUGCCCGUGAAUGAAGG